Molecule: long non-coding RNA, 1260 nt
Filed under: Neogobius melanostomus (round goby)
Lineage: Eukaryota; Metazoa; Chordata; Actinopteri; Gobiiformes; Gobiidae
Description: lncRNA (ENSNMLG00000018031.1)
Source: RNAcentral
AUGCUCUCCUGUACUUACACAUUAGUUACAGUAUACAUGCACAGUGAUAACGUGGUCAUUUCCCUUGUUUCACUUUAUUUUUCUCUGUUCACUCUUGUUUCUGCUUGUUACAGGCAACAGUGUCUCGCUUUAAUUUACAGCCCGUGCUCCUGUACCUACACAUUAGUUACAGUAUACUUGCACAGUGAUAACGUGGUCAUUUCCCUUGUUUCACUUUAUUUUUCUCUGUUCACUCUUGUUUCUGCUUGUUACAGGCAACAGUGUCUCGCUUUAAUUUACAGCCCGUGCUCCUGUACCUACACAUUAGUUACAGUAUACAUGCACAGUGAUAACGUGGUAAUUUCCCUUGUUUCACUUUAUUUUUCUCUGUUCACUCUUGUUUCUGCUUGUUACAGGCAACAGUGUCUCGCUUUAAUUUACAGCCCGUGCUCCUGUACCUACACAUUAGUUACAGUAUACAUGCACAGUGAUAACGUGGUAAUUUCCCUUGUUUCACUUUGUUUUUCUCUGUUCACUCUUGUUUCUGCUUGUUACAGGCAACAGUGUCUCGCUUUAAUUUACAGCCCGUGCUCCUGUACCUACACAUUAGUUAUAGUAUACAUGCACAGUGAUAACGUGGUCAUUUCCCUUGUUUCACUUUAUUUUUCUCUGUUCACUCUUGUUUCUGCUUGUUACAGGCAACAGUGUCUCGCUUUAAUUUACAGCCCGUGCUCCUGUACUUACACAUUAGUUACAGUAUACUUGCACAGUGAUAACGUGGUCAUUUCCCUUGUUUCACUUUAUUUUUCUCUGUUCACUCUUGUUUCUGCUUGUUACAGGCAACAGUGUCUCGCUUUAAUUUACAGCCCGUGCUCCUGUACUUACACAUUAGUUACAGUAUACUUGCACAGUGAUAACGUGGUCAUUUCCCUUGUUUCACUUUAUUUUUCUCUGUUCACUCUUGUUUCUGCUUGUUACAGGCAACAGUGUCUCGCUUUAAUUUACAGCCCGUGCUCCUGUACCUACACAUUAGUUACAGUAUACAUGCACAGUGAUAACGUGGUAAUUUCCCUUGUUUCACUUUAUUUUUCUCUGUUCACUCUUGUUUCUGCUUGUUACAGGCAACAGUGUCUCGCUUUAAUUUACAGCCCGUGCUCCUGUACCUACACAUUAGUUAUAGUAUACAUGCACAGUGAUAACGUGGUAAUUUCCCUUGUUUCACUUUUUUUUCUCUGUUCACUCUUGUUUCUGCUUGUUACAGGCAACAGUGUCUCGCUUUAA